RNAcentral lists this ribosomal RNA (497 nucleotides) under uncultured bacterium. RNAcentral's name for it is "partial 16S ribosomal RNA". It matches the Rfam family "Bacterial small subunit ribosomal RNA", at positions 28 to 507 of the family's 1533-position model. The record is from RNAcentral.
GACGAACGCUGGCGGCGUGCCUAAUACAUGCAAGUUGAGCGCUGAAGGUUGGUACUUGUACCAACUGGAUGAGCAGCGAACGGGUGAGUAACGCGUGGGGAAUCUGCCUUUGAGCGGGGGACAACAUUUGGAAACGAAUGCUAAUACCGCAUAAAAACUUUAAACACAAGUUUUAAGUUUGAAAGAUGCAAUUGCAUCACUCAAAGAUGAUCCCGCGUUGUAUUAGCUAGUUGGUGAGGUAAAGGCUCACCAAGGCGAUGAUACAUAGCCGACCUGACAGGGUGAUCGGCACCAUUGGGACUGAGACACGGCCCAAACUCAUACAGGAGGCAGCAGUAGGGGAUCUUCAGAAAUGGAAGAAAGUCUGACCGAGCAAAGCCGCGUGAGUGAAGAAGGUUUUCGGGUCGUAAAAAUCUGUUGGUAGAGAAGAACGUUGGUGAGAGUGGAAAGCUCAUCAAGUGACGGUAACUACCCAGAAAGGGACGGCUAACUACGUG